RNAcentral lists this long non-coding RNA (263 nucleotides) under Elaeis guineensis (African oil palm). RNAcentral's name for it is "long non-coding RNA (EGUI_LNC068494)". Lineage: Eukaryota; Viridiplantae; Streptophyta; Magnoliopsida; Arecales; Arecaceae. The record is from RNAcentral.
CCCUUCUUAAAUCAAAAAAAUCCUCAAAAAUCCAUAUGGAUUAGGCAUUCAAUCUAAAUUCUAGAAAAUAAAAAAUAGUAAUAAAAGUCUCAUGGAAGGAUGCUAUCCUUGCACCUCUUCACGUGAGUGCUGAUCACCACGUGUGCAGGCAUCAGGACCGACUUAUGGCAUCCGUUUGGCAUCUAGAUAGGUCUGAAAAAAUUCCAUAAAAAUUAUCAAAAAUAUAUUAUCAAGUUUAAAAUGUCAUCACCAAAAAUCAUUCU